UACGUAGGGGGCUAGCGUUGUCCGGAAUCAUUGGGCGUAAAGAGCGUGUAGGCGGCCCGGUAAGUCCGCUGUGAAAGUCGGGGGCUCAACCCUCGAAAGCCGGUGGAUACUGUCGGGCUAGAGUGCGGAAGAGGCGAGUGGAAUUCCUGGUGUAGCGGUGAAAUGCGCAGAUAUCAGGAGGAACACCUGCGGCGAAGGCGGGUUGCUGGGCUGACACUGACGCUGAUGCGCGAAAGCCAGGGGAGCGAACGGG
Molecule: ribosomal RNA, 253 nt
Filed under: uncultured bacterium
Lineage: Bacteria
Description: partial 16S ribosomal RNA
Rfam family: Bacterial small subunit ribosomal RNA
Source: RNAcentral